GACGUAGGGCGCGAGCGUUGUCCGGAUUUAUUGGGCGUAAAGAGCUCGUGGGCGGCUUGUUGCGUCGACUGUGAAAACCCGCGGCUUAACUGCGGGCUUGCAGUUGAUACGGGCAGGCUAGAGUUCGGUAGGGGAGACUGGAAUUCCUGGUGUAGCGGUGAAAUGCGCAGAUAUCAGGAGGAACACCGGUGGCGAAGGCGGGUUGCUUGUCUGACACUGACGCUGAGGCGCGAAAGCCAGGGGAGCAAACGGG
This 253-nucleotide ribosomal RNA is filed under the name uncultured bacterium. Its description in RNAcentral is "partial 16S ribosomal RNA". It matches the Rfam family "Bacterial small subunit ribosomal RNA", at positions 524 to 776 of the family's 1533-position model. The record is from RNAcentral.